GACGAACGCUGGCGGCGUGCUUAACACAUGCAAGUCGAACGGUGAAGCCCUUCGGGGUGGAUCAGUGGCGAACGGGUGAGUAACACGUGAGCAACCUGCCCCUGGCUCUGGGACAACCACUGGAAACGGUGGCUAAUACCGGAUACGACCCGCCUCGGCAUCGAGUGUGGGUGGAAAGUUUUUCGGCUGGGGAUGGGCUCGCGGCCUAUCAGCUUGUUGGUGAGGUGAAGGCUCACCAAGGCGACGACGGGUAGCCGGCCUGAGAGGGCGACCGGCCACACUGGGACUGAGACACGGCCCAGACUCCUACGGGAGGCAGCAGUGGGGAAUAUUGCACAAUGGGCGAAAGCCUGAUGCAGCGACGCCGCGUGAGGGAUGACGGCCUUCGGGUUGUAAACCUCUUUCAGCUCCGAAGAAGCGAAAGUGACGGUAGGAGGAGAAGAAGCACCGGCUAACUACGUG
This 462-nucleotide ribosomal RNA is filed under the name uncultured bacterium. RNAcentral's name for it is "partial 16S ribosomal RNA". It matches the Rfam family "Bacterial small subunit ribosomal RNA", at positions 28 to 507 of the family's 1533-position model. The record is from RNAcentral.